GAAAUGCGAUACGCAAUGCGAAUUGCAGAAUUCCGCGAGUCAUCAGAUCUUUGAACGCAAAUGGCGCUGGUUUAACCGCCAGCAUGUUUGUUUCAGUGUGUUAGGAAUCACACAACUCAAUGCGAUUAAAGCCUGGAUACUCUUCGGGCUUUUCUCGUUAAACACGAGGGCGCCGAGCUUUCGCGCUUGGACCCAAACGAAGUAGUCACUUACUCUAAGUGAUCUCGUUUGGUCCGCUACAGGCGAGCUCACUAAAGGCGUUUUUCCCUUCAUAACUCCUAACCCCCCUUUCUUCGACACCUGAAAUCAAGCAAGAUCACCCGCUGAACUUAA
RNAcentral lists this unclassified non-coding RNA (333 nucleotides) under uncultured Ophiostomataceae. RNAcentral's name for it is "sequence contains ITS1". The stretch from base 1 to 101 matches the Rfam family "5.8S ribosomal RNA", at positions 50 to 154 of the family's 154-position model. The record is from RNAcentral. Lineage: Eukaryota; Fungi; Ascomycota; Sordariomycetes; Ophiostomatales.